Molecule: long non-coding RNA, 588 nt
Organism: Monodelphis domestica (gray short-tailed opossum)
Lineage: Eukaryota; Metazoa; Chordata; Mammalia; Didelphimorphia; Didelphidae
Source: Ensembl
CUCACUGGCCAGAGUUCAGAACCACAAAGCUCUUCUCUCUCCUGAGUAUUUUUGCCUUUGGUAGAUGACAUUCAGUGCUUCUCAGAUUACAUGGCAUUACGGAUCCCCAAGAGCCACAUCCAAGGCCUGAAGCAGUGGCUGUUCAGAACCCUGCAUGUACCAGAAUGCAAACUACCUUUUGGAAAUCAAGAUCUUUCAGGAAGGCAUAAAAAGUUUUGGGCAAAGUGAUCGUUAUAUCCUGAAGUGUCCAGUGACAUCUUCCAGCCCGAGCCAAGAAAGCAUCCGCUGUGGACCAGACACCAUCCAGGUUUCUCGGCCCCUGCCCCAGGGAGAUGCCAGCCGACAGGUAGGUGAGGCAUUCCCAGGUCCCCCACGGAUUCUGCAAACACAUUUUGCAGGCCUCUUCCUGCCUGGCAUCCUGUGCCUUUCUCCAGCCAGGAAGAUGCCCGGGCAGCCGCCUUGGUCUCUGGUGCCUGCCUUGAGGGCCUUUUUUUGCCCCCCUGGCUGUGAGAAUGAAUUGGGAACAGAGUGUAAACAAGUGCCCAGUUCUUCUUUUCGUCCCUUCUGCCCGCUUGAAGGACAUCAAAG